UCCUACGGGGGGCAGCAGUGAGGAAUAUUGGUCAAUGGGCGAGAGCCUGAACCAGCCAAGUCGCGUGAAGGAUGACGGCCCUACGGGUUGUAAACUUCUUUUGUCAGGGAGCAAUUGGGUCCACGCGUGGGCUUAGCGAGAGUACCUGAAGAAAAAGCAUCGGCUAACUCCGUGCCAGCAGCCGCGGUAAUACGGAGGAUGCGAGCGUUAUCCGGAUUUAUUGGGUUUAAAGGGUGCGUAGGCGGAAUAUCACGUCAGCGGUAAAAAUUCGGGGCUCAACCCCGCCGUGCCGUUGAAACUGAUGU
Molecule: ribosomal RNA, 305 nt
Filed under: uncultured bacterium
Lineage: Bacteria
Description: bacterial SSU rRNA
Rfam family: Bacterial small subunit ribosomal RNA
Source: RNAcentral